UUACUGCUUAAGCAUGGUUAACUGUAUGUUGUUUUUCUGUUUGUAUUUUGACAAAAACCUUACUGCCCUCUUUUUUCUUCAUUUACAAAAUUUAUAUUUUCUUUAAAACAAUAUUGUAACUUCCUACUUGCUUUUUUACAGGUAAGGGGAAGAGAUGGAAAAACUUGUACUUUAUAUUGGAGGGAAAUGAUGCCCAUCUUAUUUAUUUUGAAAGUGAAAAACGAGCCACAAAACCUAAAGGUUUAAUAGACCUUAGUGUGUGUUCCAUCUAUGGAGUACAUGACAGUUUAUUUGGCAGGCCAAACUGUUUUCAAAUAGUAGUUCAGCACUUCAGCGAAGAGCAUUACAUCUUUUACUUUGCAGGAGAAACUCCAGAACAAACACAGGACUGGAUGAAGGCUCUGCAGAUGUUUUGCAGUUUAAGAAAAAACAGUCCAGGGAAAUCCAAUAAACGUCUACGUCAGGUGAAGCUAUAUAAAUAAUGGGGGGGGGGAGAUUGUCUCCUUGUUGUAAAAUGAUGCUGAUCUCAGAACUUUACUUUCAACAAUAGCAAAUCCUGCAUGUACUUUCUUUCUUGGAGUUAUGCAGUACCUUUGUUAAACCAACCGGAGUGAAUUCCUGUUUGUUAACAUAGAAUGGCUUGGGUUGGAAGGGACCUUAAAGAUCUAGUUCCAACCCCCUGCCACGGGCAGGGAUGCCACCCACUAGAUCAGAUUGCCCAGGGACUCAUCCAAGCUGGUCUUGAACACCUCCAAGGAUGGGGCAUCCACUACUUCUCUGGGCAACGUGGAGUGAAGAAUUUCCUCCUAACCUCUAAUCUAAAUCUCCCCUCUUUUAGUUUAAAGCCAUUCCCCC
Anas platyrhynchos (mallard) is the source of this 855-nucleotide non-coding RNA. Lineage: Eukaryota; Metazoa; Chordata; Aves; Anseriformes; Anatidae. The record is from RefSeq and is a predicted model, not a curated record.